RNAcentral lists this ribosomal RNA (636 nucleotides) under uncultured archaeon. RNAcentral's name for it is "bacterial SSU rRNA". It matches the Rfam family "Archaeal small subunit ribosomal RNA", at positions 318 to 954 of the family's 1478-position model. The record is from RNAcentral.
AGGCCCUACGGGGCGCAGCAGGCGCGAAAACUUUACAAUGCGGGAAACCGUGAUAAGGGGACACCGAGUGCCAGCAUCAUAUGCUGGCUGUCCAGAUGUGUAAAAUACAUCUGUUAGCAAGGGCCGGGCAAGACCGGUGCCAGCCGCCGCGGUAACACCGGCGGCCCGAGUGGUGAUCGUGAUUAUUGGGUCUAAAGGGUCCGUAGCCGGUUUGGUCAGUCCUCCGGGAAAUCUGAUGGCUCAACCAUUAGGCUUUCGGGGGAUACUGCCAGGCUUGGAACCGGGAGAGGUAAGAGGUACUACAGGGGUAGGAGUGAAAUCUUGUAAUCCCUGUGAGACCACCUGUGGCGAAGGCGUCUUACCAGAACGGGUUCGACGGUGAGGGACGAAAGCUGGGGGCACGAACCGGAUUAGAUACCCGGGUAGUCCCAGCCGUAAACGAUGUGCGUUAGGUGUAUCGACGACCACGAGUUGUCGAGGUGCCGAAGGGAAACCGUGAAACGUACCGCCUGGGAAGUACGGUCGCAAGGCUGAAACUUAAAGGAAUUGGCGGGGGAGCACCACAACAGGUGGAGCCUGCGGUUUAAUUGGACUCAACGCCGGGAAUCUCACCGGAUAGGACAGCGGAAUGAUGCC